This 66-nucleotide transfer RNA is filed under the name Gigantidas haimaensis. RNAcentral's name for it is "tRNA-Ser". RNAcentral also lists the same sequence under 1 other name. Lineage: Eukaryota; Metazoa; Mollusca; Bivalvia; Mytilida; Modiolidae. The record is from RNAcentral.
UAAAGAAGCAGGUGCAUAACAGGGCUGCUAACUUUGUUAUAAGGAGUUCGAUCUCUUUUUUUUUAU